Long non-coding RNA from Sapajus apella (tufted capuchin), 1230 nucleotides. RefSeq lists it as uncharacterized. The transcript is spliced from 4 exons. The record is from RefSeq and is a predicted model, not a curated record. NCBI's taxonomy places the organism in Eukaryota, Metazoa, Chordata, Mammalia, Primates, Cebidae.
AGAGGGUAACUGUUAAGAGGGUAACUGUUAAGUAGAGAGUAACUGCCGGGUACUGGUUUAGAAUCCUGGGUUUAGAGCCUAUUGCUAGAUCUGCUAGGGAUAUGAUUUAGGGCAAAUCGCUUGAGCUCUUUGGGCCUCUCUCUUCUUACGUCUGUAAAAUAGGGGUGAUAUUGUUUUACUUACAUUUGUGAAGUUUCAAUGAGAUUUGUUCUUGUUUUUAUGUUAAUCCCUAGUACGGGACCUGCUCUGAACACCUCUCCUCCUUGGGCUUGUGUUUCCUGAGGAGGUGGAGUUAGAGAGUAUCAUAGGUUUCUGUUAGCUCUGAGAGUCCAAGAUUUCAAGGCCAACGAGAGUGGAAACCUUGGGGCCAAGGGCUCCUGUCUGCCUUUUCCGUCCCGUAUCCCCACUGUGAAGAACUGUAGCUGGCCCGAAAACAAGCCAAACCACCACCAUCAGGCAGCGCUCAGGAGGCAGGUAGAGGCUCAGGCUCACACCAUUGGUGCCCUGGAGAGAGCCCUAUACUUCAGCAAGAAUGCAGCCAGGCAGCUAGAAGGAGACUGCAGAUACCUCUCCGGCUGCCUGCAACAUGCCUCCCAACACGUGGAGGACUUGACGCAGGCUCCGUCCGAUGUCUCCACACAGGAAAAGGUGGUGGACACGGUGAGUCCAACAACCUACCCCAUCCCCUGGCAAUCGGCUUCCCAGAUGGAGGAGUGAGUCUAAAGGUCCCUUCUGCAGGAUGGAGCGUCCUUACCAGAAGGCAGCAUGGGCCAUUUCUUUGUGCUUUUGUGUGUGGUUGUUAGAGGCAGGCUGGGGCUGAGUCAGCUGCUGUGGGUGAGUUGGGGGUGCUGUAGGGGGUGAGCACAGGACACAGAGCUCGGAGGCCAAGUGCCCGCCCUGCCCUUACCUGGCUGUGGCCUUGGCCAAAUCCUAGGUAGGGGUUAGGGUAUUUGUACCAUGAAGGCAUGGAAGAGUACCUUUAGUAUGUUACCGUUUGUGUAGAGAGAGGGAACAUGUGUUUUUGUGUGUGUGUGUGUAUUUGUGUGUGUGUAUUAUGGGAAUAUACAUAAAACAUGUAAGGAUUCAUUAAAAACUCAGGAGAGAGGAACAGUGUGAGUGGGAGAUAUUUCCCUCUUGUAUCUUGAGUUUUGGACUAUGUGAACCUAUCGUCCUUUCAAAAAGUCAACAAAAGAUUAAUUUCCUCCUUCUUAUCUGUGCCCCCACCGCCAG